GAAGGGGGCUAGCGUUGCUCGGAAUCACUGGGCGUAAAGCGCACGUAGGCAGACUCUUAAGUCGGUGGUGAAAUCCUGGAGCUCAACUCCAGAACUGCCUUCGAUACUGAGAGUCUCGAGUCCGGGAGAGGUGAGUGGAACUGCGAGUGUAGAGGUGAAAUUCGUAGAUAUUCGCAAGAACACCAGUGGCGAAGGCGGCUCACUGGCCCGGUACUGACGCUGAGGUGCGAAAGCGUGGGGAACAAACAGGAUUAGAUACCCUGGUAGUCCACGCCGUAAACGAUGGAUGCUAGCCGUUGGCAGGCUUGCCUGUCAGUGGCGCAGCUAACGCAUUAAGCAUCCCGCCUGGGGAGUACGGUCGCAAGAUUA
Molecule: ribosomal RNA, 369 nt
Filed under: uncultured bacterium
Lineage: Bacteria
Description: bacterial SSU rRNA
Rfam family: Bacterial small subunit ribosomal RNA
Source: RNAcentral